This 490-nucleotide ribosomal RNA is filed under the name uncultured Bacillota bacterium. RNAcentral's name for it is "bacterial SSU rRNA". It matches the Rfam family "Bacterial small subunit ribosomal RNA", at positions 355 to 838 of the family's 1533-position model. The record is from RNAcentral. Lineage: Bacteria; Bacillati; Bacillota.
UAGGGAAUCUUCCGCAAUGGACGAAAGUCUGACGGAGCAACGCCGCGUGAGUGAUGAAGGCUUUCGGGUCGUAAAACUCUGUUGUUAGGGAAGAACAAGUGCUAGUUGAAUAAGCUGGCACCUUGACGGUACCUAACCAGAAAGCCACGGCUAACUACGUGCCAGCAGCCGCGGUAAUACGUAGGUGGCAAGCGUUAUCCGGAAUUAUUGGGCUAAAGCGCGCGCAGGUGGUUUCUUAAGUCUGAUGUGAAAGCCCACGGCUCAACCGUGGAGGGUCAUUGGAAACUGGGAGACUUGAGUGCAGAAGAGGAAAGUGGAAUUCCAUGUGUAGCGGUGAAAUGCGUAGAGAUAUGGAGGAACACCAGUGGCGAAGGCGACUUUCUGGUCUGUAACUGACACUGAGGCGCGAAAGCGUGGGGAGCAAACAGGAUUAGAUACCCUGGUAGUCCACGCCGUAAACGAUGAGUGCUAAGUGUUAGGAGGGUUUCCG